This 206-nucleotide long non-coding RNA is filed under the name Elaeis guineensis (African oil palm). RNAcentral describes it as "long non-coding RNA (EGUI_LNC001919)". Lineage: Eukaryota; Viridiplantae; Streptophyta; Magnoliopsida; Arecales; Arecaceae. The record is from RNAcentral.
GCUCCAUACCCCAUACCGAGCCCUUAUCAUCUUACUCUACAAGCAAUUAGGUUGGAGACCGAAUCUAGUUGCAUGCCUGGCAAUCAUAGCCUCCCCCUUGAUCAAUAGGGACUAAAUUCCAAGACCCCCAUCCCUCAUGGGCUGGCAAACCAUCUCCCAAGACACCAGAUGGAGCCCUUGACGAUCAUGCCAUGAGCCCCACAAGA